Long non-coding RNA from Hemibagrus wyckioides, 1777 nucleotides. RefSeq lists it as uncharacterized. The record is from RefSeq and is a predicted model, not a curated record. The transcript is spliced from 3 exons. NCBI's taxonomy places the organism in Eukaryota, Metazoa, Chordata, Actinopteri, Siluriformes, Bagridae.
CCAUUUUUCAUGAGCUGAACUCAAAGAUCUAAAACUUUUUCUAUGUACACAAAAGGCCUAUUUCUCUCAAAUAUUGUUCACAAAUCUAAAUCUGUGUUAGUGAGCACUUCUCCUUUGCAGAGAUAAUCCAUCCACCUCACAGAUGUGGCGUAUCAAGAUGCUGAUUAGACAGCAUGAUUAUUGCACAGGUGUGCCUUAGGCUGGCCACAAUAAAAGGCCACUCUAAAAUGUGCAGUUUUAUCACACAGCACAAUGCCACAGAUUUCGCAAGUUUUGCGGGAGCGUGCAAUUGGCAUGAUGACUGCAGGAAUGUCCACCAGAGCUGUUGCCCGUGAAUUGAAUGUUCAUUUCUCUACCAUAAGCCGUCUCCAAAGGCGUUUCAGAGAAUUUGGCAGUACAUCCAACCGUCCUCACAACUGCAGACCAUGUGUAACUACACCAGAACAGGACCUCCACAUCCAGCAUCUUCACCUCCAAGAUCAUCUGAGACCAGCCACCCAGACAGCUGCUGCAACAAUUGGUUUGCAUAACCAAAGAAUUUCUGCACAAACUGUCAGAAACCGUCUCGGGAAGCUCAUCUGCAUGCUUGUCGUCCUCAUCGGGGUCUCGACCUGACUGCAGUUUGUCGUCGUAACCGACUUGAGUGGGCAAAUGCUCACAUUCAAUGGCGUCUGGCACUUUGGAAAGGUGUUCUCUUCACGGUUGAAUUCCGGUUUUCACUGUACAGGACAGAUGGCAGACAGUGGUAUAGCGUCGUGUGGGUGAGCGGAUUGUGGAUGUCACCAUUUCUCUCAAAUAUUUCUUCUUGACUGCUGUUUACAACCAACACAGAUAUCAAUGAUGGAAGGUUCACAUCAGGUGUUCUCUGAUGUAACUUCAUAAUUGGCGUGUACAGGUUCUCAGUGUGUGUUUUGUCAACAAAAGGAACUUGCAACUAAGUCUCAUCUUUACACAAGACAUCUCAAAGUUACAGUUUACUUUUCUGAAAACAAUCAAGAAAAAAAUGUGGUGGCCUGCUUGUGCAAAGACCGCAAACAGCAGACAGCAGUGCCUCUACUUGCUGAGGAAAGCCCAUCUCCCUCCCCCAUCCUGACUGUGUUCUACAGAGGGACCAUUGAGAGCGUCCUGAGCAGCUGCAUCACUGCCUGGUUUGGGAACUGCACCGUCUCGGAUCACAAGACCCUUCAGGGGAUAGUGAGGACAGCUGAGAAGAUCAUCGGAGUCUCUCUCCCCUCUAUUAUGGACAUUUACACUGCAUGCUGCAUCCGAAAAAAAAGCCAACAGCAUUGUGGCUGACCUCACACACCCCUCACACACACUCUUCACCCUCCUGCCUGGAAAGAGGUACCGGAGCAUUCGGGCCUCACAACCAGACCGUUGAACAGUUUCUUUCCUCAAGCCAUCAGGCUCCUCAACAACCAGGACUGAACUGUACAAAACUCUCUCUCACACACACACACACACACACCCUCUCUCUCUCACCUGUGUGGACACACACACACACACUCAGGACUGAACUGUACAUAACUCUCUGUCUCUCACACUCACACACACACACACAUAACUUAUAUUGUUCGAUACUUAUUGCACUACCUCACCCCCUGUGUUGUUCAUCUGCUGCUAUAUUUAUAUUUAUGUUUAUUUCUAUUUUGCACUACCUCAACUGCUGCUAUAUUGUAUUUUUUUCACAAUACAUGUUGUCAGGCCCCAAAGUUCAUCAUCUGAUUUUAUUACAUUUCAUUUACAUUUCAUUGCACAUUCUUUUUCUUUUUUUUUU